RNAcentral lists this ribosomal RNA (450 nucleotides) under uncultured bacterium. RNAcentral describes it as "partial 16S ribosomal RNA". It matches the Rfam family "Bacterial small subunit ribosomal RNA", at positions 354 to 796 of the family's 1533-position model. The record is from RNAcentral.
GUGGGGAAUAUUCCGCAAUGGACGAAAGUCUGACGGAGCAACGCCGCGUGAGUGAUGAAGGUUUUCGGACUGUAAAGCUCUGUUGUUUAGGACGAAAGUGCCUGUUGCAAAUAGUUACAGGUAUUGACGGUACUGAACGAGGAAGCCACGGCUAACUACGUGCCAGCAGCCGCGGUAAUACGUAGGUGGCAAGCGUUGUCCGGAAUUAUUGGGCGUAAAGAGCAUGUAGGCGGGAAUCUAAGUCUGUUGUGAAAAUGCGGGGCUCAACCCCGUAUUGCGAUGGAAACUGGGUUUCUUGAGUGCAGGAGAGGAAAGGGGAAUUCCCAGUGUAGCGGUGAAAUGCGUAGAUAUUGGGAGGAACACCAGUGGCGAAGGCGCCUUUCUGGACUGUGUCUGACGCUGAGAUGCGAAAGCCAGGGUAGCGAACGGGAUUAGAUACCCCGGUAGUCC